RNAcentral lists this ribosomal RNA (496 nucleotides) under uncultured bacterium. Its description in RNAcentral is "partial 16S ribosomal RNA". It matches the Rfam family "Bacterial small subunit ribosomal RNA", at positions 29 to 507 of the family's 1533-position model. The record is from RNAcentral.
AUGAACGCUGGCGGCGUGCCUAAUACAUGCAAGUCGAGCGAACAGACGAGGAGCUUGCUCCUCUGACGUUAGCGGCGGACGGGUGAGUAACACGUGGAUAACCUACCUAUAAGACUGGGAUAACUUCGGGAAACCGGAGCUAAUACCGGAUAAUAUAUUGAACCGCAUGGUUCAAUAGUGAAAGACGGUUUUACUGUCACUUAUAGAUGGAUCCGCGCCGCAUUAGCUAGUUGGUAAGGUAACGGCUUACCAAGGCAACGAUGCGUAGCCGACCUGAGAGGGUGAUCGGCCACACUGGAACUGAGACACGGUCCAGACUCCUACGGGAGGCAGCAGUAGGGAAUCUUCCGCAAUGGGCGAAAGCCUGACGGAGCAACGCCGCGUGAGUGAUGAAGGUCUUCGGAUCGUAAAACUCUGUUAUUAGGGAAGAACAAAUGUGUAAGUAACUAUGCACGUCUUGACGGUACCUAAUCAGAAAGCCACGGCUAACUACGUG